AGAGUUUGAUCCUGGCUCAGGACGAACGCUGGCGGCGUGCUUAACACAUGCAAGUCGAACGAUGAUGCCCUUUGGGGUGGAUUAGUGGCGAACGGGUGAGUAACACGUGGGUGACCUGCCCUGCACUUUGGGAUAAGCCUGGGAAACUGGGUCUAAUACCGGAUAGGACCUUGGGAUGCAUGUUCUGGGGUGGAAAGCUU
This 200-nucleotide ribosomal RNA is filed under the name uncultured bacterium. Its description in RNAcentral is "partial 16S ribosomal RNA". It matches the Rfam family "Bacterial small subunit ribosomal RNA", at positions 8 to 210 of the family's 1533-position model. The record is from RNAcentral.